This 652-nucleotide long non-coding RNA is filed under the name Lupinus angustifolius (narrow-leaved blue lupine). RNAcentral's name for it is "long non-coding RNA (LANG_LNC001885)". Lineage: Eukaryota; Viridiplantae; Streptophyta; Magnoliopsida; Fabales; Fabaceae. The record is from RNAcentral.
UUUAUUUCAACAAAGUCAAGAUGGUGAACAAAGAGUAAAACCGAGUUCUCUUACUUAAUCAAAUAAAAAAGAACAUAACGAAAAUGAGAGUAUUAAUCUUUCAACAAAUUGACACUACUGUCACGACGAUUUGUUGAGAGGAGUAUACUCCCAACUAAAAUUAAAAUAAACACCGAAUAACGCUUUCAACACCCUUCUGUACUACCAAGUUCCUCUAACAUUUCUAACCCCAACCCUACAAACACAAUACCCACUUUUGAGUACACCCGAUGUUUCAUGUCUUGGCACUUUGUCGUUUCUAUGGUUAACCAACCGGUUUAGUGGUCGAUCUACCGAAGGACCUUCUCCCUUAUGAGACAGAAUCGUCCAAACAUGGAGAGCAUUUGGAGAACAUGCAUGUUGAAAAAUCAUCGAAGACAAAGGGAGGAUUUAGAAAAAGGGUUUGUGGAAGACGACCCCAAGGAUCUCCUUUCCGGUGUUGAUGAAAUGGUUGGGUUUUCGGUGAAGGCCUCUGUGUAUGAUGAGCACUCUUCGAAGAAGAAAGAAGUAGAGAGAAUGGAAAUUGGGGAAGGUGAACCAAUGGAUAGGCCUUCACGGUUGGUGAGAUUGAAUGAAGAAAAUGAAAAGGGAAGUACAAAACAAAUGGAGGCAA